UGGGGAAUUUUGGACAAUGGGGGCAACCCUGAUCCAGCCAUGCCGCGUGCGGGAAGAAGGCCUUCGGGUUGUAAACCGCUUUUAGUCGGGAAGAAAAGGCAAGGGUUAACACCUCUUGUUCUUGACGGUACCGGCGGAAUAAGCACCGGCUAACUACGUGCCAGCAGCCGCGGUAAUACGUAGGGUGCGAGCGUUAAUCGGAAUUACUGGGCGUAAAGGGCGCGUAGGUGGUUAAUUAAGUCAGAUGUGAAAUCCCCGGGCUUAACCUGGGAAUUGCAUUUGAAACUGAUUGGCUAGAGUACGGGAGAGGGAAGUGGAAUUUCCGGUGUAGCGGUGAAAUGCGUAGAUAUCGGAAGGAACACCAGUGGCGAAGGCGACUUCCUGGCCCGUUACUGACACUGAGGCGCGAAAGCGUGGGGAGCGAACA
Molecule: ribosomal RNA, 427 nt
Filed under: uncultured bacterium
Lineage: Bacteria
Description: bacterial SSU rRNA
Rfam family: Bacterial small subunit ribosomal RNA
Source: RNAcentral